UGACUGCUAAUACCGCAUAAGACCACAGCACCGCAUGGUGCAGGGGUAAAAACGUACCGGUGGUACAGGAUGGACCCGCGUCUGAUUAGCUGGUUGGUGAGGUAACGGCUCACCAAGGCGACGAUCAGUAGCCGGCUUGAGAGAGUGAACGGCCACAUUGGGACUGAGACACGGCCCAAACUCCUACGGGAGGCAGCAUG
This 200-nucleotide ribosomal RNA is filed under the name uncultured bacterium. Its description in RNAcentral is "partial 16S ribosomal RNA". It matches the Rfam family "Bacterial small subunit ribosomal RNA", at positions 157 to 353 of the family's 1533-position model. The record is from RNAcentral.